CAAUAGCGUAUAUUAAAGUUGUUGCAGUUAAAAAGCUCGUAGUUGAAUUUCGGGUCCCCGCGCUCGGCGCUUCAUUGUGCCGUCGUGGUGUCCCUCCUCGCCGUAAGGCGUCCUUUACUGUGAAAAAAUUAGAGUGUUCAAAGCAGGCAAUCGCUUGAAUACAUUAGCAUGGAAUAAUAAGAUAGGAUCUUGUCUAUUUUGUUGGUUGCGGACAACGAUAAUGAUUAAUAUGGAUAGUUGGGGGUGUCCGUAUUGAGCUGUCAGAGGUGAAAUUCUUGGAUUUGCUCAAGACGAACUACUGCGAAAGCAUUCACCAAGGAUGUUUUCAUUAA
RNAcentral lists this ribosomal RNA (332 nucleotides) under uncultured eukaryote. Its description in RNAcentral is "partial 18S ribosomal RNA". It matches the Rfam family "Eukaryotic small subunit ribosomal RNA", at positions 592 to 976 of the family's 1831-position model. The record is from RNAcentral.